Molecule: transfer RNA, 74 nt
Filed under: Andalucia godoyi
Lineage: Eukaryota; Jakobea; Jakobida; Andaluciidae
Description: tRNA-Gly
Rfam family: tRNA
About the family: Transfer RNA (tRNA) molecules are approximately 80 nucleotides in length. Their secondary structure includes four short double-helical elements and three loops (D, anti-codon, and T loops).
Source: RNAcentral
GCGAGAGUAGCUCAAUUGGAUAGAGCGUAGCCUUGCCAAGGCUAAGGUUGAGAGUUCGACCCUCUUCUCUCGCA